Long non-coding RNA from Equus caballus (horse), 2291 nucleotides. The record is from Ensembl. NCBI's taxonomy places the organism in Eukaryota, Metazoa, Chordata, Mammalia, Perissodactyla, Equidae.
CUGCAGGCGUCCCGAGGGGCAGGAUCGUCUCCGGAGCCGACCGUGCCAGGGCUGGGCCACGGAAGGCGGAGCUGCAGCAUGUGGAGGCCCUUUGUGGACAGGUGCACAGGCCCAUCUCUCUCCGAGGCGCUACCUGCGGUUUACUGGACGUUUAUUAGAAGCCCACGCAAUAUCGUGAAGCACCUGCAGGCAAUAAAACCCUUUACAUGUGUGAGGCCUUGAGGAAAUUAACGGCUCCUCCCUGGGGAUGCAUAUUUCGUGAAGAUGUUUAUUACAGAUGAAGUGCUCCCGGGGUGGAACAUUAACAAGUUGUAGAGUGAUAAAAGGAUUUUUAUCCUUUUUCAGUGACAGAGGUAGGAAGAACGCUUUAACGGAAUCUAUAAAAGGCCCACUUCCUAAUGAAUUUUCUUUACUCUUUAUUAAUAGGGUUGGCUGAGCGGAGUCAGGGUCCUUGGAUGGCUGGACCACUGGACAAGGGGAAUGGAGCCGACUGGAGGGGGUGCGGGGCUUGGAUGCUGGACAGAGAAUGCGUGAGGAAGGUCUGGGUUCGAAUUCCAGGCACUGAAGACCACGGGGAGCCUGGGCGGGUGAUGAACACGUUCUGCCCCAGGAAAUCAUUUGGAGGCCGCUCCAGGUGAUGGGGUGAGUCAGGCCAAAAGGCAGGUUCCAAGCCCCUCUUUUUAACCCCCUGUUCCCCGCUCCGGCCUGCAGGCCAUUACCGAGAUGAAAGCCGGGAGAAUGCCUUUGGCCCAGGACUGCGGAAUCUAAUUGAAUUAUAUGAACGCAGUUAAACGUCGGCUUCAGAGAGGCAGGCCUCGCUUUCAAGACUGGAUGCUUCAGGAGUUAAUGGGCUAUUUGAACAAUAUAGGCCAAGAGCCGAACACAGAUGAGGAAACUGAGGCUCAGAGACAGGAAGUUACUUGCUCAAGAAUCUCCAGCUGUCCCAUUGACCAGCUGAGUGGCCUCGCUUCACCUCCCUGACAACAGCGUCUACAUCACGGGGUUCGGGCAGUGGUGUGCUGCAAUCAGUUCAUACUGGCUCUCAAGAGGUGCUUGUGAAAUUUUCAGGAAUUAAUUUUGUGAGCUGCUUGUUAAAAGCAGUCACUGUUAAAAAUAAAGUUAUACAAACUUACCAUUCAAUAAAUGGCCUUAAAAUUAAAAGUAACAAAUACUCCGAACUCAUCAAUUCCUAUCAAUUCACUUCACUUUGCCAUCAUCGGCGCUCGAGGUUGUCUGCGUCUAUUGUGUCCGUGUGGGGGAAACACCAUAGGAUGGCGUGGACACCACCCCCUGCACAUCACCACCUACUGCCCAUCUCUUCCCAGCUCCACCUUCGGUGACAUCAGGAAGGUAGUUUGAAAUCACCCACGGUCGGAGUAUUUACAUCAUGGAAAUUGGCAAACUCCACGAAUCAGGGUUGGUUGUUUGUUCUCCAGAGAGCUGGUUGUGAGACUGGUACCAGCACCCCGCGGGAUUAUAGAGAAGAGUCGAUGAAGAAAUCUACCUAGAGCUCUGAGCACUCAAUUAAACAUUGCUUUGAUGAAGACUAUGAGUGGUGGUGAUGGCAACAAUGCCAAUGAUGUCAUGCUCCUCAUGCUUCAACCCCCAAACCUCUCUCUCCAGCCCAGGCCUGCCCUCCUGAGCUCCAGACCCACCUGGCCCCAGCUUCCUGGCCACUUCCACUAGGAUGCCCAAGAGCCCAUUGGACUUGACACGUCCAGAACAGAAUCUCCCGUCCAGGACUCCCCAGCUCAGGGUUGAAGGCAGCCUCACCAAUUGGUGACAUUUGGACAGAGACCUGGAGAAAGUGACAGUGUGAGUCUCCAGGCAAAGGGAACAGCCAGUGCAAAGGCCCUGGGUUGGGACUCUGGGCUAUCCAAGGAACAGCCGUGAUUGGAACAGAGUGAUCAGCAGAGGAGUGAUAUGACAUGUGAGGAGGCGACUGCAAUCAUCCUGAGAAGAGAUGCUGGAGGCUGCGCUGGACUUUGGCUCAUGGGCCAACGUGUGACCAGGCACAAAGGAGAUGCUUAGUGAACACAUCUUGACAUGAACUAAAAGAUACGGUGAUAUUAACAGAGGGAAUGCCAUUUGGCAAGAACGCGAAGGCCAUCUGUCAAAGGGAAGCUUCUACAGGGUGCCGGAGAUGCUGCCCUCAACAAAACAAACGUGUUCCUACCCUCCUGCAUCUGCCCCUCCAGGGUUUCGGGAACUUCCAGAAGUUGGGUGUGGCCAGAGAGUCGGGGGGGGGGGGCGUGGAGAGCUGGAGCAGAGUUAAAUCAUCCUGUGCCUCG